Molecule: ribosomal RNA, 836 nt
Filed under: uncultured archaeon
Lineage: Archaea
Description: bacterial SSU rRNA
Rfam family: Archaeal small subunit ribosomal RNA
Source: RNAcentral
AGGUUACUAUCAUCGGUGUUCUCAUACGUCAUACUAGUCAUAUGUAGCAAUACAUGGCGUACUGCUCAGUAACACGUGGAUAACCUGCCCUUGGGUCCGGCAUAACCCCGGGAAACUGGGGAUAAUUCCGGAUAACGCAUAUAUGCUGGAAUGCUUUCUGCGUAAAAUGGAUUCGUCUGCCCAAGGAUGGGUCUGCGGCCUAUCAGGUAGUAGUGGGUGUAAUGUACCUACUAGCCUACGACGGGUACGGGUUGUGAGAGCAAGAGCCCGGAGAUGGAUUCUGAGACAUGAAUCCAGGCCCUACGGGGCGCAGCAGGCGCGAAAACUUUACAAUGCGGGAAACCGUGAUAAGGGGACACCGAGUGCCAGCAUCCUAUGCUGGCUGUCCGGGUGUGUAAAAUACACCUGUCAGCAAGGGCCGGGCAAGACCGGUGCCAGCCGCCGCGGUAACACCGGCGGCCCGAGUGGUGAUCGUGAUUAUUGGGUCUAAAGGGUCCGUAGCCGGUUUGGUCAGUCCUCCGGGAAAUCUGACAGCUCAACUGUUAGGCUUUCGGAGGAUACUGCCAGACUUGGAACCGGGAGAGGUAAGAGGUACUACAGGGGUAGGAGUGAAAUCUUGUAAUCCCUGUGGGACCACCUGUGGCGAAGGCGUCUUACCAGAACGGGUUCGACGGUGAGGGACGAAAGCUGGGGGCACGAACCGGAUUAGAUACCCGGGUAGUCCCAGCCGUAAACGAUGCUCGCUAGGUGUCAGGCAUGGCGCGACCGUGUCUGGUGCCGCAGGGAAGCCGUGAAGCGAGCCACCUGGGAAGUACGGCCGCAAGGCUGAAACUUAA